Molecule: ribosomal RNA, 199 nt
Filed under: Salmonella enterica subsp. enterica serovar Oranienburg
Lineage: Bacteria; Pseudomonadati; Pseudomonadota; Gammaproteobacteria; Enterobacterales; Enterobacteriaceae
Also listed under: 2 other names
Description: partial 23S ribosomal RNA
Rfam family: Bacterial large subunit ribosomal RNA
Source: RNAcentral
GGUAGCUAAAUGCGGAAGAGAUAAGUGCUGAAAGCAUCUAAGCACGAAACUUGCCCCGAGAUGAGUUCUCCCUGAGACUUUAGGUCUCCUGAAGGAACGUUGAAGACGACGACGUUGAUAGGCCGGGUGUGUAAGCGCAGCGAUGCGUUGAGCUAACCGGUACUAAUGAACCGUGAGGCUUAACCUUACAACGCCGAAG